UCUGGUGUCAGCCGCCGCGGUAAAACCAGCACCUCGAGUGGUCAGGAGGUUUAUUGGGCCUAAAGCAUCCGUAGCCGGUUGUUUAAGUUUUCGGUUAAAUCUAUGCGCUUAACGUAUAGGCUGCCGAAAAUACUGGACAGCUAGGGAGUGGGAGAGGUACACGGUACUCAAUAGGAAGGGGUAAAAUCCUUUGAUCUGUUGAUGACCACCUGUGGCGAAGGCGGUGUACCAGAACACGUUCGACGGUGAGGGAUGAAAGCUGGGGGAGCAAACCGGAUUAGAUACCCGGGUAGUCCCAGCUGUAAACGAUGCAAACUCGGUGAUGCAUUGGCUUGUGGCCAAUGCAGUGCCGCAGGGAAGCCGUUAAGUUUGCCGCCUGGGAAGUACGUACGCAAGUAUGAAACUUAAAG
This 410-nucleotide ribosomal RNA is filed under the name uncultured Nitrososphaerota archaeon. RNAcentral describes it as "bacterial SSU rRNA". It matches the Rfam family "Archaeal small subunit ribosomal RNA", at positions 451 to 861 of the family's 1478-position model. The record is from RNAcentral. Lineage: Archaea; Thermoproteati; Nitrososphaerota.